ACGGGAGGCAGCAGUGGGGGAUAUUGCACAAUGGGGGAAACCCUGAUGCAGCGACGCCGCGUGAGUGAAGAAGUAUUUCGGUAUGUAAAGCUCUAUCAGCAGGAAAGAUAAUGACGGUACCUGACUAAGAAGCACCGGCUAAAUACGUGCCAGCAGCCGCGGUAAUACGUAUGGUGCAAGCGUUAUCCGGAUUUACUGGGUGUAAAGGGAGCGCAGACGGCAUGGCAAGCCAGAUGUGAAAUGCGGGGGCUCAACUCCUGAACUGCUUUGGAAACUGUCGAACUAGAGUGCAGGAGAGGUAAGUGGAAUUCCUAGUGUAGCGGUGAAAUGCGUAGAUAUUAGGAGGAACACCAGUGGCGAAGGCGGCUUACUGGACUGUAACUGACGUUGAGGCUCGAAAGCGUGGGGAGCAAACAGGAUUAGAUACCCUGGUA
Molecule: ribosomal RNA, 434 nt
Filed under: uncultured Clostridium sp.
Lineage: Bacteria; Bacillati; Bacillota; Clostridia; Eubacteriales; Clostridiaceae
Description: partial 16S ribosomal RNA
Rfam family: Bacterial small subunit ribosomal RNA
Source: RNAcentral